CGGGUGGGCUGUAAAUCCCUUCCUGCUUCGGGUACUGCCGGGAGAGAGUGAAACCACUGAGCAUCGGGGCCAGCUGAUAGGCGAAGAGAGAACAGAGAAUGGAAAAUUAAUAGCAUUUAUUUAUAAAUGCAGUUUGCAUUUGGUAUGAGCACAUCAAUCCACCCCUUGGCCAGUCUGUCCUGAUGGGAGUAUAUUUGCCUUUGUGGGCUAGGUAUGUCCAGGAGGUGCUCAGACUAACCUUACAGCGAUGCACCACUGAGAGAAAGAAGUGAAAAACCAACACUCAGUAGAAAGUGUCAUUUACAGUGAUCUCUGAACCUCAGACAGGGGCAUGUCCUGGGAGAGCACAGCAAUCUGCAUCUGUGUGGCCUCUUUCUCAGAAAGGUGCUGGAGGACACUUCUCAGCAGUUUAACACUCUUGGACAAAAUGUAAAUUAUAAAGAAAUCACAACAAACAAAAACAUUGCUCUUCUGAUGCAGUUUCCGAUGACCUCCCCUGAGUUAAGAGCAUCCUGAAAGAUUUAGGAUGGGAAGAGAACUUGAAAAUAUUAGGCAAAUUAUCUGGAUGUUUUCCUACAGAACAAAUACUGAAUUUUCCAGCAUGUAAAAAAAUAAGAACAGCAAAAUAGGUAAUGAUUCUGAACUCUUGAAACCCUAAGGAGAAGUCACUUUGAGGACUGAGUGUUAAAGCCUUACUUACUUAUUUUAAUUUCUUUGACCUGCAUAUGAAAUAGGACCCCAAGAAGGCCACGAACAGCACGGAGCCUCCAAUCAUUAAUGCCAUCUGCAGCGUGCUCAGCAGCUGGAGCCGACCGGAGAUUUUAGUUCUGAACAUUUCUGCUUUCUCAUCCCCAAUAACAGCAGACUGAAACAGUGCAAGAAAAACAUCAGUGAAAGGUACAUAUGCAAGACCUUACUUGCUGAAUAUACUCUUUGUGUGGUGCAAAUCACAGCGUGAGAUUCAGGGCACCAAGACUGAAAAAGUUAGGUGGGUUGUUGUUUUUUUCAUUUGUUUGUUUAUUUCAAAUUAAAGAAUAUUAAAAUAUACUAACCUCAUUUAGCCAAAGAACAGGGAACACAUAGGCUUUUUUAACUUUUUUUAAAGGUCUGAAAUGAGAAAAAAAGUACAGCAUGUUACUUUAAGUUUGCUACAUAAGCCCACUCACUACUUAAACUUUUAUUUUUCUUCUCUAACUAUAUAUUUCUGUCUUCAAGAUGUACCUCUUAAAUAUACUUUUGGAGUGGAAAAAAAACAAAACCAAAAAACUAAAACUACAAUUAAUGGCAGCCAUUUUACAUAUUGGGCAACCAUCAUUUCCUGUCUAAUCUUCUGUAUAUAGGCAGUCAGACACAGAGAGGGAUAAAGAUCGGUGUGGUGCUCAUAUGUACAAGAUACUUAUCCAUCAUAUGUACAAAAUGUUUAUCCAUGUACAUUUGGGCCAAUGAAGAGGAAAACAAAACAACUAGAAACACAUUUACCAUUGUGAUAAAACCAUCUAGUGACAGGGAAUUCGUAAAUUCUCUUUCUCAUUGGAUUUAGUACAGAAAAUAUAGUUUGUCUUUCUGUUCAUCCUCAUGGCCCCAUUUGGGUUUUAUAAGAAUGUUAUUUUAAAGAAAAUUUUGCCUUGUAAGCUUCUGUAGGGAAGUCAAAUGUGUGUUAAAACACCUGGGAGUGUCCUGCUCAGGAAGAUUUACUCUGAACAAGCUUUGGGGAAGUAUUUUUAUUCCUUCUUCUCUGAGACAUUUCUACUGAUGCUCCCACAGACCUGUCAGCCCACUUAAAAGAAUCCUUAAAAAUAAAAUAAAGAAGUAGCACUUACUCAAUUCUUGUUGAAGGCCUCACAAGGAGGUUUACUUGCAGCCUUUUUGCAAAUCGUAGUGUAAAACCAGUCACCUAAAACCAGUGAAAAACAUCCAACAAGAUAUUAAUUUAAACUUAUUAAUUAGAUGCCAAAGUCUAUAUAUGGAGUGUGUCAAAAAGCACUUUGGGAUUAUUUUAUCCUUAUGUUUUCAAGGAUUAAUUUUUAUGAAAUGGUAAUGUUUCUAAGGGUUUCUCAUUUCUCAAAGAAGUUCUAAUUUUGUGGCUUUACCAUAGUUACCUUUUAAUUUACAUUUAAGCAUGAAGACAAAGUUAAAAACUGCUAAAUCAGUCAUGACAUAUUUAAUAUAAAGAGAUGUCUCAGGGAUUUUUUUCCACCAAAAAUCAGCUAAAUUUUAUUUUUCAAAAUGAAAGAUAUUUAACUUGCAUAGGGCUGAAAACAAACCUUUCAUAACAGGACAAACAGAUGUAUACAAAGGUCAAAUCUUUUCUUCACAUAUUUCUUCUACUCUCUGUCUUUCACAAGAAAAAAGGCUGUGAUUCUUGAAAAUUUUGUGUAAUAUUUAGGAAAAUCUCAUUGAUGUCUCUAUUUCAAAUAAGGUGAAACAAAGAUUUAACUUCAUUUCUCCUCACUGAAGUUACAUAGCUUAAUUGCCUAAUUUUAGUGAGAAAUUAUUAAUUUUAUUUUUUGUUCAAAGUAAGAGCAAAAUAGAAUUUUGGAACCUUUGAGUUCAUCAUACAAUUCAGAAAACUUAGGUAAAUGCACUUAAAGAUCUGAAUCACUGAAACAGAAAUAGAGGUAAAUUUUUAAGAAGUCAAAAUAAAUUCAUUCUGUUUGGCAGAUCUGCUGGACAAUUCAAAUCACAAAGAUUUAAAUUAGGUCCAUUUAAAUCAGACUCUUCAGAGAUCUAGCAAUACAAAAUAAACUCAUCUAUGUUUAUUUAGUUUCAAUUGAGAUAGUAAUUAUCAAAAAAAUAGUUAAAUAUAUAUAUAUUUUUAAACUAAGUGUAGAGGAAAGAAAAGUUUCAUAGAAUAUAAUUUUCUCAAAGUACCUGAAGAUCAUAGAAAAGCUACAACAUAUUUCACCCUUUUCAGAAUCUAUUCAAUCCCUUGUUCUCAAUAAGUAAAAAUCAAAACAGAUUUUCCAAACCUUGAAGGUCAGAAUGAGAGAAAGUUCUGCUCUAAAUUUCCCCUGUUGAAACCAUACCACUUUGAGAGCAGACCUUAGAAAAGCAAGCAUGAAAAUACUGCAUCUUCUGCUUGUCCCUCUGGUAAAAGGCACACUCUACUACUAUUAAAUUUAAACAUUGCAAGUUUCCCAAGGUACAAGUACUAAAUACUUGGACUUACAGGCUCUAUGUCUAGAUAUGUCUCAUGUUCUUUUUCAUUUGGGCUCAGACCUUCCACGUUAUUCAAUACAGAUCCACUUGCAUGAAGGAAAUGAGGAAGAGAGAUAUAUACUGGUCUUUCUAUUAAAAAAAAAAAAAGAAA
This is a long non-coding RNA of Passer domesticus (house sparrow), 3310 nucleotides long. RefSeq lists it as uncharacterized. The transcript is spliced from 2 exons. The record is from RefSeq and is a predicted model, not a curated record. Lineage: Eukaryota; Metazoa; Chordata; Aves; Passeriformes; Passeridae.